CAAAAACAUCGCCUCCUGCAAAAAUCAAUGUAUAGGAGGUCCUGCCUGCCCAGUGACAACUUGUUAAACGGCCGCGGUAUUUUGACCGUGCUAAGGUAGCGCAAUCACUUGUCUUUUAAAUGAAGACCUGUAUGAAUGGUGGAACGAGGGCUUAACUGUCUCCCUUCUCCCGUCAAUGAAAUUGAUCUGCCCGUGCAGAAGCGGACAUACAAAUACAAGACGAGAAGACCCUUUGGAGCUUAAGACAAAAGGCCAACCGUGUCAAAGACCCAAAUAAAAUGAAAUUAAACAAAACAGCAACUGGCCAGCGUCUUCGGUUGGGGCGACCGCGGGGGAAAAUGAAGCCCCCACGUGGAAUGGGAUAAUACCCUAAAACCAAGAGAGACAUCUCCAAGCCACAGAACAUCUGACCAAAAGAUCCGGCCCACAAGCCGAUCAACGAACCAAGUUACCCUAGGGAUAACAGCGCAAUCCUUUCCAAGAGUUCAUAUCGACGAGAGGGUUUACGACCUCGAUGUUGGAUCAGGACAUCCUAAUGGUGCAGCCGCUAUUAAGGGUUCGUUUGUUCAACGAUUAAAGUCCUACGUGAUCUGAG
Molecule: ribosomal RNA, 595 nt
Filed under: Cyphocharax magdalenae (carp headstander)
Lineage: Eukaryota; Metazoa; Chordata; Actinopteri; Characiformes; Curimatidae
Description: partial 16S large subunit ribosomal RNA
Rfam family: Bacterial large subunit ribosomal RNA
Source: RNAcentral